Molecule: ribosomal RNA, 138 nt
Filed under: uncultured bacterium
Lineage: Bacteria
Description: partial 16S ribosomal RNA
Rfam family: Bacterial small subunit ribosomal RNA
Source: RNAcentral
UAGGGAAUAUUGCUCAAUGGGGGAAACCCUGAAGCAGCAACGCCGCGUGGAGGAUGAAGGUUUUCGGAUUGUAAACUCCUUUUGUUAGAGAAGAUAAUGACGGUAUCUAACGAAUAACGCACCGGCUAACUCCGUGCC